GAUGAACGCUGGCGGCGUGCCUAAUACAUGCAAGUCGAGCGAACAGACGAGGAGCUUGCUCCUCUGACGUUAGCGGCGGACGGGUGAGUAACACGUGGAUAACCUACCUAUAAGACUGGGAUAACUUCGGGAAGCCGGAGCUAAUACCGGAUAAUAUAUUGAACCGCAUGGUUCAAUAGUGAAAGACGGUUUUGCUGUCACUUAUAGAUGGAUCCGCGCCGCAUUAGCUAGUUGGUAAGGUGACGGCUUACCAAGGCAACGAUGCGUAGCCGACCUGAGAGGGUGAUCGGCCACACUGGAACUGAGACACGGUCCAGACUCCUACGGGAGGCAGCAGUAGGGAAUCUUCCGCAAUGGGCGAAAGCCUGACGGAGCAACGCCGCGUGAGUGAUGAAGGUCUUCGGAUCGUAAAACUCUGUUAUUAGGGAAGAACAAAUGUGUAAGUAACUAUGCACGUCUUGACGGUACCUAAUCAGAAAGCCACGGCUAACUACGUG
Molecule: ribosomal RNA, 497 nt
Filed under: uncultured bacterium
Lineage: Bacteria
Description: partial 16S ribosomal RNA
Rfam family: Bacterial small subunit ribosomal RNA
Source: RNAcentral